RNAcentral lists this non-coding RNA (30 nucleotides) under Mus musculus (house mouse). Lineage: Eukaryota; Metazoa; Chordata; Mammalia; Rodentia; Muridae. The record is from RNAcentral.
UGAAAGAUUCAACCUUUGUGUGUGUGUGUG